AGCCUGAUGCAGCCAUGCCGCGUGUGUGAAGAAGGCCUUCGGGUUGUAAAGCACUUUCAGCGAGGAGGAAAGGUUAACGGUUAAUACCCGUUAGCUGUGACGUUACUCGCAGAAGAAGCACCGGCUAACUUCGUGCCAGCAGCCGCGGUAAUACGAGGGGUGCAAGCGUUAAUCGGAAUUACUGGGCGUAAAGCGUACGCAGGCGGUUUGUUAAGCGAGAUGUGAAAGCCCCGGGCUCAACCUGGGAACUGCAUUUCGAACUGGCAAACUAGAGUCUUGUAGAGGGGGGUAGAAUUUCAGGUGUAGCGGUGAAAUGCGUAGAGAUCUGAAGGAAUACCGGUGGCGAAGGCGGCCCCCUGGACAAAGACUGACGCUCAGGUACGAAAGCGUGGGGAGCAAACAGGAUUAGAUACCCUGGUAGUCCACGCCGUAAACGAUGUCUACUCGGAAUUGGUGUCUUGAACACUGGGUUCUCAAGCUACGCAUUAAGUAGACCGCCUG
This 501-nucleotide ribosomal RNA is filed under the name Shewanella sp. 1S3 7. Its description in RNAcentral is "bacterial SSU rRNA". It matches the Rfam family "Bacterial small subunit ribosomal RNA", at positions 380 to 875 of the family's 1533-position model. The record is from RNAcentral. Lineage: Bacteria; Pseudomonadati; Pseudomonadota; Gammaproteobacteria; Alteromonadales; Shewanellaceae.